Molecule: ribosomal RNA, 1431 nt
Filed under: Staphylococcus haemolyticus
Lineage: Bacteria; Bacillati; Bacillota; Bacilli; Caryophanales; Staphylococcaceae
Description: 16S ribosomal RNA
Rfam family: Bacterial small subunit ribosomal RNA
Source: RNAcentral
AUACAUGCAGUCGAGCGAACAGACAAGGAGCUUGCUCCUUUGACGUUAGCGGCGGACGGGUGAGUAACACGUGGGUAACCUACCUAUAAGACUGGGAUAACUUCGGGAAACCGGAGCUAAUACCGGAUAAUAUUUCGAACCGCAUGGUUCGAUAGUGAAAGAUGGUUUUGCUAUCACUUAUAGAUGGACCCGCGCCGUAUUAGCUAGUUGGUAAGGUAACGGCUUACCAAGGCGACGAUACGUAGCCGACCUGAGAGGGUGAUCGGCCACACUGGAACUGAGACACGGUCCAGACUCCUACGGGAGGCAGCAGUAGGGAAUCUUCCGCAAUGGGCGAAAGCCUGACGGAGCAACGCCGCGUGAGUGAUGAAGGUCUUCGGAUCGUAAAACUCUGUUAUUAGGGAAGAACAUACGUGUAAGUAACUAUGCACGUCUUGACGGUACCUAAUCAGAAAGCCACGGCUAACUACGUGCCAGCAGCCGCGGUAAUACGUAGGUGGCAAGCGUUAUCCGGAAUUAUUGGGCGUAAAGCGCGCGUAGGCGGUUUUUUAAGUCUGAUGUGAAAGCCCACGGCUCAACCGUGGAGGGUCAUUGGAAACUGGAAAACUUGAGUGCAGAAGAGGAAAGUGGAAUUCCAUGUGUAGCGGUGAAAUGCGCAGAGAUAUGGAGGAACACCAGUGGCGAAGGCGACUUUCUGGUCUGUAACUGACGCUGAUGUGCGAAAGCGUGGGGAUCAAACAGGAUUAGAUACCCUGGUAGUCCACGCCGUAAACGAUGAGUGCUAAGUGUUAGGGGGUUUCCGCCCCUUAGUGCUGCAGCUAACGCAUUAAGCACUCCGCCUGGGGAGUACGACCGCAAGGUUGAAACUCAAAGGAAUUGACGGGGACCCGCACAAGCGGUGGAGCAUGUGGUUUAAUUGGAAGCAACGCGAAGAACCUUACCAAAUCUUGACAUCCUUUGACAACUCUAGAGAUAGAGCCUUCCCCUUCGGGGGACAAAGUGACAGGUGGUGCAUGGUUGUCGUCAGCUCGUGUCGUGAGAUGUUGGGUUAAGUCCCGCAACGAGCGCAACCCUUAAGCUUAGUUGCCAUCAUUAAGUUGGGCACUCUAAGUUGACUGCCGGUGACAAACCGGAGGAAGGUGGGGAUGACGUCAAAUCAUCAUGCCCCUUAUGAUUUGGGCUACACACGUGCUACAAUGGACAAUACAAAGGGCAGCGAAACCGCGAGGUCAAGCAAAUCCCAUAAAGUUGUUCUCAGUUCGGAUUGUAGUCUGCAACUCGACUACAUGAAGCUGGAAUCGCUAGUAAUCGUAGAUCAGCAUGCUACGGUGAAUACGUUCCCGGGUCUUGUACACACCGCCCGUCACACCACGAGAGUUUGUAACACCCGAAGCCGGUGGAGUAACCAUUUGGAGCUAGCCGUCGAAGGUG